GGAUGCGAUCAUACCAGCACUAAAGCAUCGGAUCCCAUCAGAACUCCGAAGUUAAGCGUGCUUGGGCGAGAGUAGUACUAGGAUGGGUGACCUCCUGGGAAGUCCUAGUGUUGCAUUCC
Molecule: ribosomal RNA, 119 nt
Filed under: Aegilops tauschii subsp. strangulata
Lineage: Eukaryota; Viridiplantae; Streptophyta; Magnoliopsida; Poales; Poaceae
Source: RNAcentral